AGUCCACGCCGUACACGAAGAACACGAUGUGUUGGGGAACAAUAGUUCUGCGGUGCCGCAGCACACGCAUUAAGUAUUCCACGGGGGGAGUACGUUCGCAAGAGUGAAACUCAGAGGAAUUGACGGGGACCCGCACAAGCGGUGGAGCAUGUGGAUUAAUUCGACACAACGCGAAGAACCUUACCUGCCCUUGACAUGUGAGGAAGCUCUUGGGAUGAGAGUGUGCCCGCAGGGGAGCCUGAACACGGGUGCUGCAUGGCUGUCGUCAGCUCGUGGCGGGAGAUGUUGGGUUAAGUCCCGCAACCACCGCCACCCUUGGCACUAGUUGCUACAAAGGGGCACUCUAGUGAGAGUGCCGGUGACAAACCGGAGGAAGGUGGGGAUGACGUCAAGUCCUCAUGGCCCUUAUGGGUAGGGCUUCACACGUCAUACAAUGGUCGGAACAGAGGGCAGCGAACUCGUGAGACGGAACCAAUCCCAGAAAACCGAUCGUAGUCCGGAUUGGAGUCUGCACCUCGACUGCGUGAAGUCGGAAUCGCUAGUAAUCGCGGAUCAGCAUGCCGCGGUGAAUACGUUCCCGGGUCUUGUACACACCGCCCGUCAAACAAUGGGAGUGGUGUUUACCACAACUCGUUAGCCUAACCGCAAGGAGGGCGGCGACCACGGUGAGCACCGUGACUAAUGUUAAGUCGGAACAAGGUACC
This 704-nucleotide ribosomal RNA is filed under the name uncultured bacterium. RNAcentral's name for it is "bacterial SSU rRNA". It matches the Rfam family "Bacterial small subunit ribosomal RNA", at positions 792 to 1500 of the family's 1533-position model. The record is from RNAcentral.